UUCUCGCUUUGGGUGCGAGAGGUCCCGAGAUCGAUUCUCGGAAUGCCCCAUUGAUAUUUUUUGAUAGUAUGGUGCAUUGAUAGAAUCUUAUAGGUAUUGCAUGUGAAUUUUUCUUUGGUCUGGUUUUAGAUCAAAACACAUUCAGUAAUUUCUAAAAAUUACCUAGUCUAUAUUACAUACAACCAACCUCUCCAAAAAUAUUAUGUACUAAGUCCGAAAAGUCUACUGAUUGAAUUAUAGCCAUGUACAACUUUUAAUCCAAGUUAUGUUUGGGAAAACAUAAAUUAUUGUACGCUGAAUAAACAAACUACAAAAAUGAAAAAAAAAAUAGUUUGAAAAACUAAUCAAUAAACCUUUAGACUCGUCAAAAUCAAACCCUUAUUGUAGUAAAUUUCUUACAGGAACCAUCAAACUGGUUGUUUUGUCUUGUCUCCAAAGGAUGGUAAAGACUAAAAAAUGGUCGCACAGAUUUCUGAAUAUCAUAUUCAGCCUUCAUUAUUUGGCUAAAGUCAACUAAGAGAACAUCCUCAGAAAGGGCCAAUACUGUGACCUUCAACCAUGCAUCUAAUAUGCUUAGCAAUCGGGUGUUUGGUCUAGUGGUAUGAUUCUCGCUUUGGGUGCGAGAGGUCCCGAUUUCAAUUCUCGGAAUGCCCCAUUGAUAUUUUUUGAUAGUAUGUUGCAUUGAUAAAAGCUUAUAGGUAUUGCAUCUGAAUUUUUCUUUGUUCUGGUUUUGGAACAAAAAAGAUUUAGUAAUAUCUAAGAAUUACCUAGUCUAUCUUAUACAAUAAAGGAUAGUUGUCUCUCUCCUCCUUCCUCCACAUCAUUGUUUUAGUAUGGGCAAAAUUGGACACGUGGCAGGUGAUUUUUUUUGGUUCACUCUUUCUUUUUUUACGUUUUGAGUGUUGGGCCUCUUAUUUUGUCUUUUGUUAUUAUAGUUUUCUGGAUUUUGGGCUUUUACAAGACGUUUUUGUUCAGACCAAUCACGUGUAGGGUUUCAAUAUCUUCUUAACUUUAACAUUCAUAGCUCAGCAAGUCAGCAUCCUUGCUAAGCCGUCGAUCAACUCACUAUAACGUAUCUAAUUUGCAUUAAAACUUACUUUAAUCCGAGUUUUAACGUGAUUACCCCCACCUCCUACUCUCAAAACAUUCAAUUGGACUCAUCGUCUCCCAAUUAAACCGACGGGGGCUCCGACUAUAAAUCUCCUAGCGAUGACAGCACAACUUCACCAAAUCGAGAAGAACGAGGACCAGUCUCCAAGGUCUUCCGAUCCGUUCACCCUCUCGAUCACUCUCUAACUUUCGUUAUCAUCUCCUUGCUACUUUCGAUUUCAAAAUUUUAGUGUUUUUUCUUUGUUUUUUAUGUGGGAUAGUGUUGGAGAUCAAGAGAUCAAAGGAUUGAUCUUUUGAUUUUAACACGAUUAUAAUUUUAUGUGCAGGAAGAUGACAGGCUUAAGAGUAUGUGAUCAGUGAUGCUACUGCGAUUGUCCAGACAAGUUUAUAGCAUCGUAUAAUAUCAUGGACGGUACUGUAUACCAGGCUCCACAGCGUUGUAGUGUCUUUGCAGCUCGAGUUGUUGGCUGUUUAUAAUAUUUAGAAGGCUUUCUCUGCAGCUGCAUUAAAGUAGGAGACCAUUAGGCAGGUUGAUGCCAAAAACCAGAAUGAGCCUUCUGAGACAAAGCCCCCAAUAAUACACAAUCUUUCACACCACUUCUCUUUCGAUUCAUCAAAAGAUGUCUUCAUAGAAAACAUGAAGCAACACACCUUAUAUAAGAAAAAAACGGAAUUGAACAGUAUAUAUGUCGAAGAAGUCAAGACUUCUUUGAGCAACGCGUUUCUUCAGGCCGAUCUUGCUUUAGCAAAGGACUGCAACAAAGGCUCUUUUCUCAGGUUUUUCUUCUGGUACCUGGUACCUCGGCUCUUGCUGCCCUUAUUUUUGGAAGGUAUUUUUGUUAGCUUCGACCAAACCCGUCUUCAGAAUCACUAAGAUUUGAUCUUAAGUGUAGGUUUGUGUGCUCAUGAUUGUUGUUCUGUUUCUGAACCAGACACUUAAUGGUUGCAAAUGCAGGAGAUGGCAGAGCUGUUCUCUGUAGGAAUGGUGAAGCCAUAGACAUGUCUCAAGACCACAAACCCAUCUACUUACCGUAAAGAAGAAAGUCGAAGGAAGUGGCGGCUUUGACGAUGCCAGUUACUUAAAUGGCAUAGCGAUUAGGACAUGAAACUAUCACGAGGGUCAUGAUAUCCACUCAUAGAAGAGCCAGGAGAUCAAAAAGAUACAUGUAAUAGAGGAAGACAAGUUUCUGAUAAUGGGAUGCGAUAAUUCAAAAGGUUUUUGUAUCGUUAGGUGUGAAUUACGUCGUCACCAUGACCCGAUAAAGCUUGCUUUGAGGUCUUUAAGGCUAGAUAAGUUUGCUAACCUAACAGUGGUUGUUUAAUUCUUGUCGGCUGAUGACAUGGCGAUGGUCGCUCCUCUGGUGGAGGAUCAAGUUUGACGGCAUAAGCUUCUCAGAGAUUGAGGGCCUUAUUUGACGGUUGAAUGAAAAGAUAGUAACAUUCCCUUUUGUGUUCUUGGCUGAGCUUUUUCUUUUUGUUGUAUAUUUGGUGUCUGUAUGUAACUUCCAGUGUCUACAUGCCCCAGUUUUGUGUAAGCGGUUAUGUGUUCAUGAAUGGAUUGAAAGUUUUUAUAUGUACAUGCUUCAUUUAGCUUGUAUGCUUGGUCGCUAACUACAUGCAUAUCCAAUUUGUAUGCUUGGUUGGUCGCUAUUUUGUCCACUUUCUUAAGCAAGCAAAUAGUUUUGUAAUAUGAACAUUAACAAUAUACAUUAUUAAACACUUAAGGUUAAUUAGGAACCAACAAUUGUCCAACAUGAAAAUAGUUUUACAUAUUUUUUCACUUUUUAGAAGAUCAUAACUACACUAGAAAUUCUACAAAUUAAUAUUCAAUAAAUUAAUAAACAUUAUAAAUUAAUAAACUUAAUCGAUUUCAAGUUGAGUCAAUUCAAAAUAUGACACAAAUUGAUAAAAUAAUAAGAUAAUAUCUUGUUGAAGAUCCCAUGUAAAUAUAUAGUCUCGCUAAAAUCAUAAUUUAAUAAUUUCUAUAUAUAAAAUUCCUGUAAGUAUAAAUAAUAUAUUAUUGUAUUGUUUGUUUUCGAUUUACAAUGGUAUUAUUUUAUAAUAUCUAAAAAUUUGUCUCUAAAAACACAUUUAAAUUAUAUGAUACAUAUCUCAUAUACAUCAAAUAAUAUAAUAAAAAGGAUAUGCAGGUCGAUGUAUAAAAUUUAAUGAAUAUAUAAACAGUGAAAUCAAAUAUUUUUUCUUAUUAUACGAAAAUAUUUUCAAAAUAUAUAUAUUUAAAAAUUAUUAUUUUUAUAAAUUAAUAAUUCUGUAAAGUAAUAAAUUUAUAUAGUGCCAACAUUUUUAAUAGAGUUUUACUGUAUUUUUAUUUGUCUAUUUUCUCAAACAAAUAGUUUAGUAGUAUGCAUAUUAACACUACAUUAUUAAACACUAAAACUGAACUAUAAGUUUCUGUCUAACAUGAAAAGUUUCUAUAACUUCCAUAAAGCAAUACAUUUACACUUAAAAAAAAAGCUGCAUCCACAUAAAUUGCUAUAUCAGUUGAAUGUCAAAUUAAUCAACAAUACCAUCAAAAAAAAUGUUCAUAUUUAAAUAACAACAAAAAAGUUUAAAGCAAAUAAGAAAACAACUACAAUUAUUAAUACAUCAGUAACCCGCCAUCUAACAAAAGUUCUAUAUAAGAUCUUCAAUAAA
Molecule: long non-coding RNA, 3765 nt
Organism: Brassica napus (rape)
Lineage: Eukaryota; Viridiplantae; Streptophyta; Magnoliopsida; Brassicales; Brassicaceae
Exons: 4
Source: RefSeq, a predicted model, not a curated record